Molecule: ribosomal RNA, 683 nt
Filed under: uncultured organism
Description: SSU rRNA
Rfam family: Bacterial small subunit ribosomal RNA
Source: RNAcentral
GGCCUGUGACUGACGCUGAGGCGCGAAAGCGUGGGGAGCGAACAGGAUUAGAUACCCUGGUAGUCCACGCCGUAAACGAUGGGUGCUAGGUGUUAGGGGGGAGCACCCCUUAGUGCUGAAGUCAACACAUUAAGCACUCCGCCUGGGGAGUACGACCGCAAGGUUGAAACUCAAAGGAAUUGACGGGGGCCCGCACAAGCAGUGGAGCAUGUGGUUUAAUUCGGAGCAACGCGAAGAACCUUACCAGGUCUUGACAUCCCUCUGACGGGUUCAGAGAUGGGCCGUUCCUUCGGGACAGAGGAGACAGGUGGUGCAUGGUUGUCGUCAGCUCGUGUCGUGAGAUGUUGGGUUAAGUCCCGCAACGAGCGCAACCCUUGACCUUUGUUGCCAGCAUUAAGUUGGGCACUCAGAGGUGACUGCCGGUGACAAACCGGAGGAAGGUGGGGAUGACGUCAAAUCAUCAUGCCCCUGAUGACCUGGGCGACACACGUGCUACAAUGGGCGGUACAGAGGGCAGCGAAGCCGCGAGGCGGAGCGAAUCCCAGAAAGCCGCUCUCAGUUCGGAUUGCAGGCUGCAACUCGCCUGCAUGAAGGAGGAAUUGCUAGUAAUCGCGGAUCAGCAUGCCGCGGUGAAUCCGUUCCCGGGCCUUGUACUCACCGCCCGUCAAGGGCGAAUUCCAGCA